RNAcentral lists this ribosomal RNA (940 nucleotides) under uncultured crenarchaeote. RNAcentral's name for it is "bacterial SSU rRNA". It matches the Rfam family "Archaeal small subunit ribosomal RNA", at positions 406 to 1353 of the family's 1478-position model. Lineage: Archaea; Thermoproteati; Thermoproteota. The record is from RNAcentral.
UCUUUUCCCCAGUGUAUAAAGCUGGGGGAAUAAGGAGAGGGCAAGCCUGGUGUCAGCCGCCGCGGUAAUACCAGCUCUCCGAGUGGUGGGGAUGCUUAUUGGGCCUAAAGCAUUCGUAGCCUGCUUGGCAAGUCCUCCGUUAAAUCCAACGAUUCAAUCGUUGGGCUGCGGGGGAUACUGUCCGGCUAGGGGGCGGGAGAGGCCGACGGUAUCCUCGGGGUAGGGGUGAAAUCCUAUAAUCCCGGGAGGACCACCAGUGGCGAAGGCUGUCGGCUAGAACGCGCUCGACGGUGAGGGAUGAAAGCUGGGGGAGCGAACCGGAUUAGAUACCCGGGUAGUCCCAGCUGUAAACGAUGCAGGCUAGGUGUUGGCGCGGCUACGUGCCGCUCCAGUGCCGCAGGGAAGCCGUUAAGCCUGCCGCCUGGGAAGUACGGCCGCAAGGCUGAAACUUAAAGGAAUUGGCGGGGGAGCACCACAAGGUGUGAAGCUUGCGGUUUAAUUGGAGUCAACGCCGGAAAUCUCACCGGGGGCGACAGCAGAAUGAAGGUCAGAUUGAAGGUCUUACCAGACAAGCUGAGAGGAGGUGCAUGGCCGUCGCCAGUUCGUGCCGUGAGGUGUCCUGUUAAGUCAGGCAACGAUCGAGACCCGCGUCCCCUGUUGCCACCGGCCUUGAGCCGAGCACACUGGGGAGACUGCCGCCGAUAAGGCAGAGGAAGGAGCGGGCCACGGCAGGUCAGUAUGCCCCGAAUCCCCCGGGCUACACGCGAGCUGCAAUGGCAGGUACAGAGGGUACCGACUCUGAAAGGAGAAGGAAAUCCCGAAAGCCUGCCGUAGUUGGGAUCGAGGGUUGAAACUCACCCUCGUGAACAUGGAAUACCUAGUAACCGCGUGUCACUACCGCGCGGUGAAUACGUCCCUGCUCCUUGCAGGAAUUCGCCGA